This 253-nucleotide ribosomal RNA is filed under the name uncultured bacterium. RNAcentral's name for it is "partial 16S ribosomal RNA". It matches the Rfam family "Bacterial small subunit ribosomal RNA", at positions 524 to 776 of the family's 1533-position model. The record is from RNAcentral.
UACGUAGGGGGCUAGCGUUGUCCGGAAUCAUUGGGCGUAAAGCGCGUGUAGGCGGCCCGGUAAGUCCGCUGUGAAAGUCGGGGGCUCAACCCUCGGAAGCCGGUGGAUACUGCUGGGCUAGAGUGCGGAAGAGGCGAGUGGAAUUCCUGGUGUAGCGGUGAAAUGCGCAGAUAUCAGGAGGAACACCAAUUGCGAAGGCAGCUCGCUGGGACGUGACUGACGCUGAGACGCGAAAGCGUGGGGAGCAAACAGG